GAUGAACGCUGGCUACAGGCUUAACACAUGCAAGUCGAGGGGAAACGACGGGGAAGCUUGCUUCCCCGGGCGUCGACCGGCGCACGGGUGAGUAACGCGUAUCCAACCUGCCUCUGACUGAGGGAUAACCCGUCGAAAGUCGGCCUAAUACCUCAUGGUAUCGUCUGCGGGCAUCCAACGACGAUUAAAGAUUUCAUCGGUCAGGGAUGGGGAUGCGUCUGAUUAGCUUGUUGGCGGGGUAACGGCCCACCAAGGCUACGAUCAGUAGGGGUUCUGAGAGGAAGGUCCCCCACAGUGGAACUGAGACACGGUCCAAACUCCUACGGGAGGCAGCAGUGAGGAAUAUUGGUCAAUGGGCGAGAGCCUGAACCAGCCAAGUAGCGUGCAGGAAGACGGCCCUAUGGGUUGUAAACUGCUUUUAUGCGGGGAUAAAGUGAGGGACGUGUCCCUCAUUGCAGGUACCGCAUGAAUAAGGACCGGCUAAUUCCGUG
Molecule: ribosomal RNA, 491 nt
Filed under: uncultured bacterium
Lineage: Bacteria
Description: partial 16S ribosomal RNA
Rfam family: Bacterial small subunit ribosomal RNA
Source: RNAcentral